Molecule: non-coding RNA, 103 nt
Organism: Paramarasmius palmivorus
Lineage: Eukaryota; Fungi; Basidiomycota; Agaricomycetes; Agaricales; Marasmiaceae
Source: the annotation of a GenBank genome assembly
GCUGGGAUGGCCGAGUCGUUAAGGCGAGUGAUUUGAAUGGUGCGAGUGCUUGCACAUUAUCACUUGGUGUUUCACCGCGUAGGUUCAAAUCCUGCUCCCAGCG